Molecule: ribosomal RNA, 478 nt
Filed under: uncultured bacterium
Lineage: Bacteria
Description: partial 16S ribosomal RNA
Rfam family: Bacterial small subunit ribosomal RNA
Source: RNAcentral
GACGAACGCUGGCGGCGUGCUAAACACAUGCAAGUCGAACGGUAAGGCCCUUCGGGGUACACGAGUGGCGAACGGGUGAGUAACACGUGGGUGAUCUGCCCUGCACUUCGGGAUAAGCCUGGGAAACUGGGUCUAAUACCGGAUAGGACCCUGGGAUGCAUGUCCUGGGGUGGAAAGCUUUUGCGGUGUGGGAUGGGCCCGCGGCCUAUCAGCUUGUUGGUGGGGUGGUGGCCUACCAAGGCGACGACGGGUAGCCGGCCUGAGAGGGUGACCGGCCACACUGGGACUGAGAUACGGCCCAGACUCCUACGGGAGGCAGCAGUGGGGAAUAUUGCACAAUGGGCGCAAGCCUGAUGCAGCGACGCCGCGUGAGGGAUGACGGCCUUCGGGUUGUAAACCUCUUUCAGCACCGACGAAGCGCAAGUGACGGUAGGUGCAGAAGAAGGACCGGCCAACUACGUGCCAGCCGCCGCAGUAA